Long non-coding RNA from Oncorhynchus keta (chum salmon), 696 nucleotides. RefSeq lists it as uncharacterized. The transcript is spliced from 3 exons. NCBI's taxonomy places the organism in Eukaryota, Metazoa, Chordata, Actinopteri, Salmoniformes, Salmonidae. The record is from RefSeq and is a predicted model, not a curated record.
CACACACACAGACCGCAGUCAACCACUACCCCAGCCCCAAGAGGUAAACACACACAGCAACACACACCGAAGUCAACCACUACCCCAGCCCCAAGAGGUAAACACAGCAACACACACACCGCAGUCAACCACUACCCCAGCCCCAAGAGGUAAACACAGCAACACACACACCGAAGUCAACCACCACCCCAGCCCCAAGAGGUAAACACAGCAACACACACACCGAAGUCAACCACCACCCCAGCCCCAAGAGGUAAACACAGCAACACACACACCGAAGUCAACCACCACCCCAGCCCCAAGAGGUAAACACAGCAACACACACACCGAAGUCAACCACUACCCCAGCCCCAAGAUGUAAACACAGCAACACACACACCGAAGUCAACCACCACCCCAGCCCCAAGAGGUAAACACAGCAACACACACACCGAAGUCAACCACCACCCCAGCCCCAAGAGGUAAACACAGCAACACACACACUGCAGUCAACCACGACCCCAGCCCCAAGAGGUAAACACACACACACCGUUGUCUGAUCUCCCCACAUUAUUUAUAAGAGUAUUGUUGUUGCAUUUGUAGGUCUGAUAUAAUGUUCCUCUUAGUCCAGUUAAUGUUUCAUAGGGAACAUUGGAUCUCUUCCAUGUUGUUUAGUUUGACCCUUACUGACGUUACUGCACUAUCAUAUAUCCUGUA